CUUAACACAUGCAAGUCGAGGGGCAUCAGGAAGAAAGCUUGCUUUCUUUGCUGGCGACCGGCGCACGGGUGAGUAACACGUAUCCAACCUGCCCUUUACUCGGGGAUAGCCUUUCGAAAGAAAGAUUAAUACCCGAUAGCAUAAUGAUUCCGCAUGGUUUCAUUAUUAAAGGAUUCCGGUAAAGGAUGGGGAUGCGUUCCAUUAGGUUGUUGGUGAGGUAACGGCCCACCAAGCCUUCGAUGGAUAGGGGUUCUGAGAGGAAGGUCCCCCACAUUGGAACUGAGACACGGUCCAAACUCCUACGGGAGGCAGCAGUGAGGAAUAUUGGUCAAUGGGCGCUAGCCUGAACCAGCCAAGUAGCGUGAAGGAUGAAGGCUCUAUGGGUCGUAAACUUCUUUUAUAUAAGAAUAAAGUGCAGUAUGUAUACUGUUUUGUAUGUAUUAUAUGAAUAAGGAUCGGCUAACUCCGUGCCAGCAGCCGCGGUAAUACGGAGGAUCCGAGCGUUAUCCGGAUUUAUUGGGUUUAAAGGGAGCGUAGGUGGACUGGUAAGUCAGUUGUGAAAGUUUGCGGCUCAACCGUAAAAUUGCAGUUGAUACUGUCAGUCUUGAGUACAGUAGAGGUGGGCGGAAUUCGUGGUGUAGCGGUGAAAUGCUUAGAUAUCACGAAGAACUCCGAUUGCGAAGGCAGCUCACUGGACUGCAACUGACACUGAUGCUCGAAAGUGUGGGUAUCAAACAGGAUUAGAUACCCUGGUAGUCCACACAGUAAACGAUGAAUACUCGCUGUUUGCGAUAUACAGUAAGCGGCCAAGCGAAAGCAUUAAGUAUUCCACCUGGGGAGUACGCCGGCAACGGUGAAACUCAAAGGAAUUGACGGGGGCCCGCACAAGCGGAGGAACAUGUGGUUUAAUUCGAUGAUACGCGAGGAACCUUACCCGGGCUUAAAUUGCAGUGGAAUGAUGUGGAAACAUGUCAGUGAGCAAUCACCGCUGUGAAGGUGCUGCAUGGUUGUCGUCAGCUCGUGCCGUGAGGUGUCGGCUUAAGUGCCAUAACGAGCGCAACCCUUAUCUUUAGUUACUAACAGGUUAUGCUGAGGACUCUAGAGAGACUGCCGUCGUAAGAUGUGAGGAAGGUGGGGAUGACGUCAAAUCAGCACGGCCCUUACGUCCGGGGCUACACACGUGUUACAAUGGGGGGUACAGAAGGCAGCUAGCGGGUGACCGUAUGCUAAUCCCAAAAUCCUCUCUCAGUUCGGAUCGAAGUCUGCAACCCGACUUCGUGAAGCUGGAUUCGCUAGUAAUCGCGCAUCAGCCACGGCGCGGUGAACACGUUCCCGGGCCUUGUACACACCGCCCGUCAAGCCAUGGGAGCCGGGGGUACCUGAAGUACGUAACCGCAAGGAUCGUCCUAGGGUAAAACUGGUGACUGGGGCUAC
Molecule: ribosomal RNA, 1434 nt
Filed under: uncultured organism
Description: SSU rRNA
Rfam family: Bacterial small subunit ribosomal RNA
Source: RNAcentral